This is a non-coding RNA of Vicugna pacos (alpaca), 193 nucleotides long. NCBI's taxonomy places the organism in Eukaryota, Metazoa, Chordata, Mammalia, Artiodactyla, Camelidae. The record is from RefSeq and is a predicted model, not a curated record.
ACACAAACGAACUUAUUUAUAAAACAGAAAUCAACUCACAGACAUAGAAAACAAACCUAUGGUUACCAAAGGGGAAUGGGGGGGGGGUGAGGGAUAAAUUAGGAGUUUGAGAUUAGCAGUACAAACAACUAUACACAAAAUAGGUAAAGAACAAGAUCCUACUGUGUAACACAGGGAACUACAAUCAAUAUCU